RNAcentral lists this ribosomal RNA (465 nucleotides) under Vreelandella stevensii. RNAcentral describes it as "partial 16S ribosomal RNA". It matches the Rfam family "Bacterial small subunit ribosomal RNA", at positions 338 to 795 of the family's 1533-position model. The record is from RNAcentral. Lineage: Bacteria; Pseudomonadati; Pseudomonadota; Gammaproteobacteria; Oceanospirillales; Halomonadaceae.
CCUACGGGUGGCUGCAGUGGGGAAUAUUGGACAAUGGGGGGAACCCUGAUCCAGCCAUGCCGCGUGUGUGAAGAAGGCCCUCGGGUUGUAAAGCACUUUCAGUGAGGAAGAACGCCUGGUGGUUAAUACCCAUCAGGAAAGACAUCACUCACAGAAGAAGCACCGGCUAACUCCGUGCCAGCAGCCGCGGUAAUACGGAGGGUGCGAGCGUUAAUCGGAAUUACUGGGCGUAAAGCGCGCGUAGGUGGCUUGAUAAGCCGGUUGUGAAAGCCCCGGGCUCAACCUGGGAACGGCAUCCGGAACUGUCAAGCUAGAGUGCAGGAGAGGAAGGUAGAAUUCCCGGUGGAGCGGUGAAAUGCGUAGAGAUCGGGAGGAAUACCAGUGGCGAAGGCGGCCUUCUGGACUGACACUGACACUGAGGUGCGAAAGCGUGGGUAGCAAACAGGAUUAGAUACCCUAGUAGUC